Molecule: transfer RNA, 77 nt
Filed under: Phaeodactylibacter xiamenensis
Lineage: Bacteria; Pseudomonadati; Bacteroidota; Saprospiria; Saprospirales; Haliscomenobacteraceae
Description: tRNA-Lys
Rfam family: tRNA
About the family: Transfer RNA (tRNA) molecules are approximately 80 nucleotides in length. Their secondary structure includes four short double-helical elements and three loops (D, anti-codon, and T loops).
Source: RNAcentral
GAACCCGUAGCUCAGUUGGCUAGAGCACUUGACUUUUAAUCAAGGGGUCCUGGGUUCGAGCCCCAGCGGGUUCACAA